AAACUUUCAACAACGGAUCUCUUGGUUCUGGCAUCGAUGAAGAACGCAGCGAAAUGCGAUAAGUAAUGUGAAUUGCAGAAUUCAGUGAAUCAUCGAAUCUUUGAACGCACAUUGCGCCCCUCGGUAUCCCGGGGGGCAUGCCUGUUCGAGCGUCAUUG
RNAcentral lists this ribosomal RNA (158 nucleotides) under Lecidea sp. Tuerk 38563. RNAcentral describes it as "5.8S ribosomal RNA". It matches the Rfam family "5.8S ribosomal RNA". Rfam says of the family: 5.8S ribosomal RNA (5.8S rRNA) is a component of the large subunit of the eukaryotic ribosome. It is transcribed by RNA polymerase I as part of the 45S precursor that also contains 18S and 28S rRNA. RNAcentral also lists the same sequence under 1 other name. The record is from RNAcentral. Lineage: Eukaryota; Fungi; Ascomycota; Lecanoromycetes; Lecideales; Lecideaceae.